RNAcentral lists this non-coding RNA (22 nucleotides) under Arabidopsis thaliana (thale cress). Lineage: Eukaryota; Viridiplantae; Streptophyta; Magnoliopsida; Brassicales; Brassicaceae. The record is from RNAcentral.
UUGGUGUUUGAUUGAUGAUUAU